UCUCCGUUGGUGAACCAGCGGAGGGAUCAUUAAUGAGUUGCAAACCUCCAACAACUCAUUGUGAACGUACUCCGUAUCGUUGCUUAGGCGGUUGGCUUCGGCCUCUGGUCCGCAUGCGGCGCGCCCGCCGGGGGACAUCUAACCCUUGUUUAUUAACGGUAUCUCUGAGUCUUUAUACAAAUAAGUCAAAACUUUCAACAACGGAUCUCUUGGUUCUG
This 218-nucleotide unclassified non-coding RNA is filed under the name plant metagenome. Its description in RNAcentral is "partial contains small subunit ribosomal RNA, internal transcribed spacer 1, and 5.8S ribosomal RNA". The record is from RNAcentral.